CUCUCAAAGCCAAGUACCCACCUGGCUUCAUGUAAUGCUGUUGCUGCUGAGUUUCAAGGUUGAUUUAGAAAGAAAAAAAAUACAUUUUUUUCUAAUUAACAUAAAAACCAGUGAAUUCUGAUGAUCGUGAGAAAAUCAUAUGGUUUUCCAAAUCCUGCCUUUAAUUGAUAGUGUUUUCAGUUGUGCUUUUAGACUCUGCAGUUUGAAUCAAAGCAAGAAAGGGUGGUGAGGAGAAAAAAAAAAGAUUAUAGAAAGAAGAUGACCUGCCGGGGCAAAUCUUAGUUAAUACAGAGAGGCCUUGAUGUGUCCCAUUCCAUAGCUGGUUGAGAGAGACAGAAACUUUUUUUCCACUUGGAGUUCAGGGAACACCCCCAGUUUACAAGGGAGUAAUAUUUCUCCAGAUAUGAAAGCAGCUUCUAAUCUGCUUUGACCUUGCCCAGAAAUUCAAGUCCAAAUGUAGUAACAUAGAAGCUGACAGGUCAACCAAAAGAAUUUUCAGGGGGAGGAGGAUCUUACCCCAUCUUUCUUUUUUCUCCCCCCACCCACCCACUCCUGCUUGAACUCUUAUCAGGGAUUGCUUGAAAUGCAAUGGUGGCUCAGCUGGCAGUCGAAAUAACACCAGCUAUGUUAAUUUUUUUUUUAAAGCAAGAAUAAAUAAUAUGGAGGGCAUUUAUUGGAUUAAUCCAGAAUGUACUCCUGCUCUUAAAAGCCAUGUACAUUUUUACAAACAUGUAAAAAAAUUACCUUUUUACAUGUUAAAAAUUGAGAACUUGAAUUGCACAUUAUUAUUGUACGAUGAGUUAGCAUUUACACUGAGCCAUAGCUGUGCAGGAUGCUUUAACAGUGAAUGGACAUUGCCCCUGCCCUAAGGAGUCUAUAAUCAAAGUGCCUGAUGCUGCAAACAUUUAUGACUGGUUGUAGUGGUUAAUAAUGUGAAUAGUUCAGUGGGAUUUACUGCCUGUCAUGGUGAAGUCAAUCAGGCUACUUACGAUAGUAAGCACUAUGUCUAGUGUUUGUAAUGCUUGAAGCCUUUAGCUGGAUGAAGCAUAACAUGACAGAGAAAUGGCAUCAGGCAAGGGAGGGGGAGUGAGGUUUAUACAGUAUUCAGUUAGUACUUCCUCCAGUCUUGUAUGCAGUAUUUGUUCCAUUUUCUUUUAUUAAGUGGACAUGGGAGUUUGAGCCAGUGCUAGAGUCUUGCCAUCAACUUUGUGUUCUGUUAACAGAACUAGGUUUUUUGUUUCUCUAGUUAAAGACCAGUUUAGGAAACAAUGAGAAAGUAGGAGAUCAUUCUCAUCAUUCCAGUAGUUUUAUAAUAAUAAAUAAAAUGGUGCCUUCUUCUUGGACGGUCUUGGACAAAUAAUUUGGGGCUGUAGAAGUAAUCCACAUAUGCCCCCUCUUCUGCUUAAUUCCUGUAUCAUCUACACAUAUGCACAUGCAUAUUAAUACAUACAUUACAUUGGCUCUAGAAAUCAAUUUUUAAUUUACUUAAUUGUCACCUUGACACACUGAAUUACAGACUUGCUUCAGUAAUAAUAAUUUUAAAUGUCUGGAGGUUGCGUCUUCUCUUUAAAAAUGAUAAUAAGGCAGCCCUUUUCACUUCUGCAGAUAAACAUUUUGACAAGUGAUCAAAGGCUGUAAGAGCACAGGGGAAGACUGGGUGCCUGUUAAUGCUUUACCAGUCAGUAAUGGUGGGACUGUGCUUUUUGCUAGUCUGGCAAAAACUGUAAUGUGGACUACUUCCUCUUCGUUUUUUUUUCCUCACUCCCUCUGUCUUUUCCCCACUCCAGAAAAUGUUUUGCUGUUCUCCACUAACCCACAUACAGCUCGCUGUAUCCACUUCCCAGAUUAUUCCAUUUAAGGUACUGGAAAUUCAGCAAGUCUGAUUCUCAGUUUCCACCACAUCAAGAACAGAAAGGAAGUUUGGACCCUUAAACCCGAAGAUACCAAUUGCUUCUGCAUGGACUGCAGAGCUCCCCAAUGCUCUCAGCCCCCAGGACAGCACGGUUCCAAACAGUCUGCAUUGCCAAAGGCUCUCUCCAUGGCCACAGUCCUCAGAACCCCACCUCAAUGGGAUUCCACAUUUUCAGGCAGGGACAGUAUUAAUUUACCUGCUAAAGUCCUGUGGGCUUGGUGGGGUGAUGACAUUGUUGAGAGCAUUUCCCUGCUGCAUGCCCUCCUUUACCGCUGAACCUGAAUCCCACAGAGCACCUACUGAAGGGCUUAUAUGGGGGAAACAACGCAAUAGAGAACUCCUCCCAACUAGAUUCACUGUUUCCCUGGAACAAUGUACUAGUGGUUCAUCUUUCUUUCCCUCAGGAACAAUAAGAAAUUAUCUUAUAGAUUAGGUCCAGGACCAUCCAGCCUUUCUAAGUGUAGAUCCAAGAUGCCAAAUGAUGUCAUCUGAAAACUUGCAUAGCAUAGAGAUGUUUACAAGAUGGCACAUCAGUUAUUCAAAUGUACAGCCUCUACCAAAGGAAACGUCCAUUCAGGCCUGAAAUUCAGCUAAUACUUCUCUUUAAAUUGCACACUUAUGGUCAGAAUAAUUUAUUCAGUAAUAUGUCUCUUCUCUUGAACACUUCAGAAGCUGAAAUGAAUUAGAUUUUUUUUUUUUAAACCUCUGAAAUUUGUCUGCGGUAGUUAGAUCCAAUGAACUAAUGGAUGAUUUUCUCACAUCUUGUUCUCCAAUUUUAUUCCUUUCCAAUCAUAUCCUUCACAUGGUCUUGGAGAGUGUUGGCUACAAUCAGAUCUUUUAUUUUUCUUCACUUUCUUCCAUUUAUGCAUUUAAAUUCUGCUUCUCAGCAUUUUUUCUUCGAUUGACAGACACCUUAUCAACUUCCUAGGUGCAUGUUUGUUUCUCACAGCACUGUGUGAUUUCUUACCACAACUGGCAAUGUCUGCAUGCACCCAAAGCUAACGGAUAGUUGGUUAUGACAGCAGAUGAUCUCUAUAGUCUGAAUCCACAUCCAUGGUCUGCUCCAUUGCAACUUCACCUUUCGAGGGGGCACUUAUAUGUUAUAUCUACAUCAGACUUUUGUGCCAAAAAUAUUCCAGUGUCAAUACCACCAGUGCAGGUUCACUGUGUAUACCAUCAGUGUAGAUAGGGCUUCAGGCAGCUGCAGGAGCCUUAAGCACAGUGACCCUGAUUCUCAAACGUAUUUAGGCUUCUGACUUCCACUGAUUUCAAUGGGCGUUGAGAGCCUAAAUACCUUUAAGGAUCUGGGCCAGUGUCACCUAACCUUGCUCAUAAACAGCCUAGAUGACCUAGUGCUUCAAAUGCAGUCAGUGGUUUGUCUUGUUUACAAUAGUGCUACCACCAUUGCUACCACUGGUGGAGUUGCACAGGUGAAACUCUUAGGAAAAAAAAGCUUGUGUGGAUACGUCCCUGUCUGCAAUACCCUAACUUUUAAACCAGGUUAAGAAAAAUAUCAUGCUAUAGAAGAGUUUAUAUCUACACUAUAAGCUCUAAAAAUUUGUUUUCAGUUGUGUGGCAGAGCUACGUGAAUCCUUCCAUGGGAGUCUUCUGAUGCAUCCGAUGAAGUGAGCUCACAAAAGCUUAUGCUCAAAUAAAUUGGUUAGUCUCUAAGGUGCCACAAGUACUCCUUUUCUUUUUGCGAAUACAGACUAACAUGGCUGCUACUCUGAAUUCUGACACAUGGGUAAUUUGAACAUAAUAGAGCUUACAAUGUGGAUUGUACUUUAAUUAUUAUUUCUCUGAUCUUCUGUAUUACAGUAUUUGAUACCCCUGCCUUUAUUUAUCUUUUUGACCAUUUUAUUAUACACCUCUACUCCAGUUCCUGUAUAUCUCUCAAAAAUUUCAUUAUUCACAAAACUGAACAUCUGCUUCCUCACCUAAAAGACUUUUAUUAAGUAAUUAUGUUGUGUAUAGUUUAUUUCUCUCUGUUGGCACCUAAAGUGAGACUGCUCCACUUAAAAUCUGCUUUGCCAUAUAUAUCAACACAGAUAUGAGGAGAUUAGCGUUAUUCAAGACAGAGAAGCCAUAUGUUGGAACAAAAAUGCAAAGAUCCAAGGCCUUUAAGAAAAUCAAAUAAUGUGGAAAACAUAUAUGUCUACUUAUGGCAAGACCCUCAGCUCCAUUUAAGAUAAUUUAAAUAUUCAAGUAGCAAGGGGUGAGAAUAAAUUAGCUAAUUUAUAAGUAAACCUUGAAUUAUUUUAUUUGGUUUAAACGAUCUCGCUAAGGGAUUAUAGCUGAAAUAAGAAAGGCAGAAAGACUGGGGUUUUAGCCUUAUUUUUAUUCACAAAAUUGUUUUUGUCCAGGGUGAUGGAAGCUUUGGAGUGUUGUCUCACAGAGUGUCCUUUAGUAAAGAGAGUCAUGGAAGAGCUUGCCAAGGGGAUAGUACUUUCUGUUUUGUUAGGGCAAGGAAGACAGAACAUAGAGUCCAUUACUUUUAGGAUAAAUUGUCCCAUCUGAAAUGUGGGGACAGACAGUAGUGUUUAGAGAAGGCAGGUCAAAGGUAGAGAUAGAGACAUAUAAGGAUUUGAGCAUCAUGUGGUGUUAUCUGGUUUUAUGGAAAAGGAACACAAUCUGAACCACAUUAAGGAGACUCCUCUUCCAUACAAUGGCCCCGUCCUGAAACUCUUACAUGUAUGAGUAAGAAUUACUUCCUUGAAUGAUGACUGAAGGAUCUGUUAUGUCAUGGCUUGUUAUGUGAGCCGUCCGCAACAUCGUGCAUGGAAAAAGGUCAUUAUUAAGAGAAACAAUCCGGAAAAUGUACUGUUGUUAAUUUCAAUGCAAAAUAAAUUGCAUACAAAUAAUCUAUGUUAAAAAUUGUUGUUUAGAUUGCAAAAUCAGGAAUUAAAAAGUUAGAAAAUGCCAUAUUUACAAUAGUCCAUGCAAUGUGAAAGCAACUCUUUCACUUCCAAUUUCCCUGACAAGGUCUUGUGUAAUGUCCCACCAAUUAGAAUGUAGCAGGUUAAUGCAUAUAAAACAUCUCCCUUUAAAAUAUGCUGCUGACCUUUGGGGCCUGAUCCCGCAUCACUGAAAUGAAUGGGAGCUUUGUUAUUGACUUCAGUGGUGCAGGAACUCCCAAUGGACUGAGGGAGACCUUGCUGACAUCGCGAUCAGGCUGGAGAGCUCUCUGACAGCUGUAAAGAGCAGCAGAGAAUGGAGAGAAAGCAGCGGCAGGUGGGGGAAUAGCGUCUUCCAGCUCCUCCACCCCCAGUGGAGUUUGAGGACAGAGUGUGACCAACAGAAGCAGGCAGGGAAACAAGGUCUGCCAGCUCCACCGUCACUGGUGUCACAGUUGUUUGGGAGUAGGUUCCUUGAUCUGCAGUCUUGGAAGAAGAGAGGGUGAUGGUAAAAGAUUGUAUGAGCCCAAACUGUUUCAGCAACAAAAGCUGCUACAUCUAAACUACAACACCUAUAUCUACCACGGGAAGUGAUUCUGGCCCCUGACAUCACUAUUAGGAUGACUGAAGGGCAUACCCACCUAAAAUCAGGAAGAAGAGGUUCCCGCUCUACCCUGGGGGAACCCCACCUCCAUCCACACACUGAAGGAAGUGCUGGGAGCAGGAUUACAGGAGCCAUCCUGUCAAGGACUGCCACAAAGUUCAGGUGGAAGUACAGCAUCUUGGGAACUUCAGUGAGUUUUGGGGACUGGACUCCCAGUAACUACCUUGGGAGAAAACCUUGAAGGAAACUCUGAGAGUGCUAGGUGGCUUGUUUCUUGCACAUAGGAGCAUUAAACCCAUUAAUUUUAAUUCUGAAAUGCUUUGGGAUAUGAGUUUAAAUCCAAAUCCCACACCAAGAUUUGGACUCAUCAUCCCCAGUGCUGACACUUCAGGAGGGUUAGUGGGAGAAGGGUGGACCCGUCACAGUUAUAGUAUAGUACAAUAAGGUCUUGUUUCUUCUCUAGAAGAUGGUCACAUCACAGACCGUAGCUCUCUCAAUCUUUUUCACUCUGACUGGGGCUGGAGGGUUUUGUAUGGAGACAAACUUUUUCAGGUGUUGGCCCCUUUAAAACUGGCCAACAGAAUGUCGUCUCUUGAAGAGCUGAGGGUUCCAGUACAGUUGAGACAGGUGGAUCAGGCUGUGUCGGGGGGCGGGCUGUGGAUCCCUGAUCCCACCUUCCCCGAGGGGAAACCAGGCAGGAGGGGCAAGGCUUGGAGCAAAUUUACAGUGAAAGAAACCAGAACAAAGGCAAAGUGUUAAAGAGAAUCCUCAGAGGAGGAAAGACCAAGGAGACGAUAGAAAAAGUGACCAAGAGACGGACGGAGAAAGGAAGGCAGGGAAGACAGGUGAAGUGAAAAUGUAGAUAUUAUUGCUAGACAAAUCCUGUUCACUCUUCUCUAAAUUAUUAGUGUUUAUAUAAUAUAAAGUUGUGACCUUGAUCAUUGCUAAGUUCUGGUCCCUGCUCUGCCACUCACUCCUUGUGUAACUUUGAGGGGGAUCAGCCUCCUUAUAGUUCAGUUUCACCACCAGUAGAAAUGGAAAUAGCACCUGUCUGGCUCACAGAGUAUUUAAGGCUGUUUGUAAAGUACUUCAGAGUAACAGCCGUGUUAGUCUGUAUUUGCAAAAAGAAAAGGAGGACUUGUGGCACCUUAG
Molecule: long non-coding RNA, 6562 nt
Organism: Chelonia mydas (Green sea turtle)
Lineage: Eukaryota; Metazoa; Chordata; Testudines; Cheloniidae
Exons: 3
Source: RefSeq, a predicted model, not a curated record